This 309-nucleotide unclassified non-coding RNA is filed under the name Hevea brasiliensis (rubber tree). Lineage: Eukaryota; Viridiplantae; Streptophyta; Magnoliopsida; Malpighiales; Euphorbiaceae. The record is from RNAcentral.
AUUACAACCAAAUGCCUGCUGCUGCUCCAGGGAGUAGUCAGCAACAUCACGGUGGUGCGUGGCGGCCUCCUCCUCCACCGGCCAACCAUGGUGGCCCGCAUCAACAUUAUGGAAAUAAGUAUUCGGCACUUGAUAGAAGAGGAAACGGGAGACCACCUUCUUCAGCACCACACUCCUAUGGCCGCAGGCAGAAACCAUACUAAGCUUAAUCCAAUGUACGUUUAAUCUGUAAGGAAAAUUAUUGCAUUUCAAUUAUUUUAGCCACCACUGACACAUUCCUUACCUUACCCCGCAUAAGGAAAAUUGUUG